UACGGAGGGUGCAAGCGUUAAUCGGAAUCACUGGGCGUAAAGCGCGCGUAGGUGGCUAUUUAAGUCAGAUGUGAAAGCCCCGGGCUCAACCUGGGAAUUGCAUUUAGAACUGGCAAGCUAGAGUAGGGUAGAGGGGUGUGGAAUUCCAGGUGUAGCGGUGAAAUGCGUAGAUAUCUGGAGGAACAUCAGUGGCGAAGGCGGCACCCUGGACUCAUACUGACACUGAGGUGCGAAAGCGUGGGGAGCAAACAGG
RNAcentral lists this ribosomal RNA (253 nucleotides) under uncultured bacterium. Its description in RNAcentral is "partial 16S ribosomal RNA". It matches the Rfam family "Bacterial small subunit ribosomal RNA", at positions 524 to 776 of the family's 1533-position model. The record is from RNAcentral.